UUUGCCUACGGGGGGCAGCAGUUAGGAAUAUUCGUCAAUGGGGGAAACCCUGAACGAGCAAUGCCGCGUGAAGGAUGACGGUCCUCUGGAUUGUAAACUUCUGUUGUUAGGGAAGAACGACCUAAGUAGGAAAUGACUUAGGAGUGACGGUACCUUUCAAGAAAGCUCCGGCUAACUACGUGCCAGCAGCCGCGGUAAUACGUAGGGAGCGAGCGUUAUCCGGAUUUAUUGGGUGUAAAGGGUGCGUAGGCGGCUUUUUAGGUCUAAGGUUUAAGCCCGGAGCUUAACUCCGGUUCGCCUUAGAA
RNAcentral lists this ribosomal RNA (305 nucleotides) under uncultured bacterium. RNAcentral describes it as "bacterial SSU rRNA". It matches the Rfam family "Bacterial small subunit ribosomal RNA", at positions 334 to 631 of the family's 1533-position model. The record is from RNAcentral.